UUUCGCCUUAAGAUGAGCCCAUGGCCCAUCAGCUAGUUGGUAGGGUAAAGGCCUACCAAGGCUACGACGGGUCGCUGGUCUGAGAGGACGACCAGCCACACUGGCACUGAGAUACGGGCCAGACUCCUACGGGAGGCAGCAGUGAGGAAUAUUGCGCAAUGGGGGAAACCCUGACGCAGCAACGCCGCGUGUGGGAAGAAGGCCUUCGGGUCGUAAACCACUUUUGCACGGGACGAAAAAGGGAUAUCGAACAAAUAUCCCCGAUGACGGUACCGUGAGAAUAAGCCACGGCUAACUCUGUGCCAGCAGCCGCGGUAAGACAGAGGUGGCAAGCGUUGUUCGGAAUUACUGGGCGUAAAGAGUCUGUAGGUGGUUUGUCAAGUCU
RNAcentral lists this ribosomal RNA (385 nucleotides) under uncultured bacterium. Its description in RNAcentral is "bacterial SSU rRNA". It matches the Rfam family "Bacterial small subunit ribosomal RNA", at positions 213 to 590 of the family's 1533-position model. The record is from RNAcentral.